This 2076-nucleotide long non-coding RNA is filed under the name Anas platyrhynchos platyrhynchos (common mallard). Its description in RNAcentral is "lncRNA (ENSAPLG00000023813.1)". The record is from RNAcentral. Lineage: Eukaryota; Metazoa; Chordata; Aves; Anseriformes; Anatidae.
AAAGGCUAAAACUACUUCAAGGCAGAAUUAUAACUAAUAGACUCAUCCCUUGGUAGCUUGAAGGAUUUUUCCACACUUGAAGCUGUUGAUUUUAAACCUAAAAACAGUUAGCCCUCAGCAUAAAAUCAUCUGCCUGCUUUUCUGACAUGCUCAGCACCUUCCUCUCUCAGCACCUUUUGCAUACCAAGUAGAGUCAAGAUUCACAGAGCCUGCAUGGGACUCGAAUGACAUGAUAGUCUGUGCGGUCUCUCUGCACAGGUGUGAAUUUUGACCAAAGUACUGAGAAUUUACUCAGCCACCCGUGCAGUUAGGACAGACGGUCAUCUGGAAUUUACUUCAAGAAAGGAAAACUGUAUGUGCAGCUUGUACACGGAGAUAAUCAUACUUUUAAAAUAAGAGUCACAGCUUACGUAUUUGAGAUAACAGAUGCAGCACUGCCCUGCAGCAAAGCCUUACUCUGCAUAUCAUGUGACUGUUAUAUUAGGAAUAUGUCCUGCUUAAAAAUAGGAAAGCCUGCUGCACCGGUUGGGAAGUAGAGAAGUAGAGGUUAUUAUUAAUAGGAUAUUUUGCAUGCAAUUUUCUGUCAAUUAAGUUUCAAUAAUCAAACCCACAUGAUUUGAACCCCCGCAUCACACCCCUUUAAGCAGUGAAUAUUAACAUAUUAAAACAAAACAAAACAAAAAAAUCCUCAUGAGUAUUUGCACUGCAUUGGCUCAAGAACAUAUUUGGAAACUGGCUGAAUGACUGAGAAAGAGAGGGAUGCCCAAAAGGAUGGCUAUAUUUUGGCAGAUGCCAAUGUGUAGCUGUCUUCAAAAUUCCCAUGGAACUUCAGAGAAAAGAAAGGUGCGGGUCUUGCAAUCCUGGCAAAACUGCAGGUACACUGCUGGAGUGCAUUUCCCGCUUAGCUGCAUUUGGAAGGAAUCUAUCUUGUGCUCUCUGAGAGCCAACCAAACACAGUAAAUGGGGGAAACUGGAAGACUGGCAUUGAAAGGACAAGCCUCACCUCAACUAAAAUGCUGUCAUAGAUACACCCAUUGAAUCCAGCAGGCUUAGGAUCUGUCUGCAGAAGCUGUGAGCUUUCCUUCCCUUUCAGAAGAAUUGAGUUAGGAGAGACUGAGGGCCAGAUCAAAUGUGGUUACUGGUGUUUCUCUGCAGGAAGCAUUAUAGUCAGCUGCACAGUAACUGAUGCUCUUGGUUGCACAUUACUUUUGGCUGGGGGAAGCUCCUGGAAAAUUGUCUGUACAGGCAACAUCAUCAUUUUAAUUUUCUCUCUUAAUUUAUGGUGCAACAAGACCAAAAUCAUUGGUCUCAAAACACUAGAGAAAUUAUGGACUAGUUAGUAUGGGAGGGCUGCCUUUUCUCUCUAAAGGAUGAGCAGAAAUAAUGGAUUCAUUUUUGCCUUUCUGUCUGACACUCCAAAACCUUUCUGCUGCACAUUUAGCUGAAGAGUAACAUGCUCUCAUAUGGUCAGCUGUGAGGAGAUAAAAGCCAGUUCUCUGUACAGAAAGACCCCACUUCCUUUUCCAAGUACAAAUCCCAUUCCUUCAUUUCUGUUCACCUGCAUAUUCUCCUAGUGUUAUUUGAAAUCCUUUCAUGACUGUGUUGAAAGCCUAAAAUGCAGUGCUAAGAAAAAGAUUGAUCCAUAAUGGAACAGACCAAUAUUGACAAAUUUCAAACAUACUUUGUAUAAUGUAUCACAUAAAGCACAUGGUUAUUAAUCUGUCUUAGAUACAUAUGUGUUCUGUAUCACCAGAGAUAUUAGCCAUUUUCCACUCUUCAUUCACAAUCACUCCUUACAACAUGUUAGUGCUGUAAAUGCUUUUACCCCUACUUAGCUGGUGGGAAAAUGCUGUACCAGGAGUGGCUUGUCUAAGUUCAGAUGUGUAGACCACUCCCCAGAAAAGUGCUUUAUACAGUGGAAUGAAGUCAUGAACAACCCAAAGCAUUUCAGGUUAAUAACAUGUACAACUUGUUCUGAAGAAGACAAAGAGGAGAGCAUGAGUGCUCUAUUUCAGUAUUUUUUGGUAGCAUGCUGCAUGCAAACCUGUGAAAUAAAAAAGAUGAGGUUUGUUUCCA